RNAcentral lists this ribosomal RNA (608 nucleotides) under uncultured bacterium. RNAcentral describes it as "bacterial SSU rRNA". It matches the Rfam family "Bacterial small subunit ribosomal RNA", at positions 28 to 603 of the family's 1533-position model. The record is from RNAcentral.
GACGAACGCUGGCGGCGUGCUCAAUACAUUUCAAGUCGAACGCUUUUGUUUUCACCGGAGCUUGCUCCACCGAAAACAAAAGAGUGGCGGACGGGUGAGUAACACGUGGGUAACCUGCCCUCAAGCGGGGGAUAACACUUGGAAACAGGUGCUAAUACCGCAUAACAAUCAGAAUCGCAUGAUUUUGAUUUGAAAGGCGCUUUUGCGUCACUUGAGGAUGGACCCGCGGUGCAUUAGCUAGUUGGUGAGGUAACGGCUCACCAAGGCCACGAUGCAUAGCCGACCUGAGAGGGUGAUCGGCCACACUGGGACUGAGACACGGCCCAGACUCCUACGGGAGGCAGCAGUAGGGAAUCUUCGGCAAUGGACGAAAGUCUGACCGAGCAACGCCGCGUGAGUGAAGAAGGUUUUCGGAUCGUAAAACUCUGUUGUUAGAGAAGAACAAGGGUGAGAGUAGAAUGUUCACCCCAUUGACGGUAUCUAACCAGAAAGCCACGGCUAACUACGUGCCAGCAGCCGCAGGUAAUACGUAGGUGGCAAGCGUUGUCCGGACUUUAUUGGGCGUAAAGCGAGCGCAAGGCGGUCUCUUAAGUCUAGAUUGUGAAAGC